AGUGGGGAAGCCGAAAACCACUAAAAAAGAGUAGGCG
Molecule: regulatory RNA element, 37 nt
Organism: Niastella vici
Lineage: Bacteria; Pseudomonadati; Bacteroidota; Chitinophagia; Chitinophagales; Chitinophagaceae
Rfam family: DUF805b RNA
About the family: Bacteroidetes, Chlorobi (1 example), Proteobacteria. Lineage (Flavobacteria)
Source: Rfam